This is a long non-coding RNA of Lytechinus pictus (painted urchin), 1481 nucleotides long. RefSeq lists it as uncharacterized. The transcript has 2 exons. Lineage: Eukaryota; Metazoa; Echinodermata; Echinoidea; Temnopleuroida; Toxopneustidae. The record is from RefSeq and is a predicted model, not a curated record.
CCCGCCUUGGGGCCAUUGCAUGCAGGCAUGCAUGUCCGCACAUGGGAAUGACGAUGUAAUAUCGAUGUGGCAGAUAUGGCAAGUUCCGACUCGGAGUCCUCGUAUAAAAACAGUAGAAGUCUGGAUGUAUUCUAGGAUAGUUGAGCCACAUGGCUGAUUUGCUUGUUUGUUAUGUUAAGCAGUAGGCGAGUGCAUUUUAUUUAAGGCACUUGCCGGCUUAACACGAAACUAGAAUUUCAAUUUCAUUUCAUUUUCCCAGCGUGUUUGUCCCAUUGAAGACAUCAAAUCGCAUCGAAAUAAAAAAAAUCGCCAAAAAUCCAAAACCCGAGUGAUUACGAACGCGACCCGAGUGAUUUCGAACGCGAACGCGACCCGAGUGAUUAUAAUAAGCCCUUAUUUACAUGUCAUAGUUUUUUGUGUUAUGUGUAAUUCAUUCUGACAACAUGGUAACUUUAUUACGUGAAUAUACAUGCCCGAAAACAGUCAUGAUGUGGAAUAUAUAAAAGUGCGUGUGUUUGUUUUCACAACCAUUUUGAUUUCAUAUGAAAUUUUAUUUUGAUCGGGUGCCCAAUUCAUAUUUCCCUACAGUUACUCGGAGAUCAUGACUAGUGGUCAUUGUGACUAGUGGUCAUUAUGACAAAUGUUCAUUAUGACUAGUGGUCUUUAUUUUGACUAAUGAACAUUAAAACUAGUGAUCAUUUUUACUAGUGGUCAUUGUGAGUAUUGAGCUUGACCCGCUGAGAUUGUGUCGAAAUAUGUUUUUACUUGUAAUUCAUUGUGCCAACACAAACUUGUAAACAUGAAUUUUCCAGCUCCGGCAAUUUUUUUUAAAGUGACAUAGUUAUUAACAUGUUUGAUCAUCAAAAAAAAUUAAUUGAAUUGAAUUGAAAAAAGGGUAUUCAUUGAAUUCUGUAAUGAGAUGUGCAUUGUAUUUAUUGUAAUAUGCCACAAUCGCCCCCGGCGAACCAGAUGGCAGCAUCGUGUAAGAAUUUAGCAUAAAAUAGCAGUAUAGCGCCGAACCAAAUUGGUCAAAACCAUUCGUACUACGGACCAAUAGUUUUUGCGCAGCGGAUUAAAAGCUUAAAAGUAACAGAUAAAAAAGAGACCUGCGAUUCUCUUUCAUACAACCUUUUUGGUAUAUAAACCCCUUUGUAUUUUCCCCGAUUUAUUUGUAAUCCGACGCUGGCAUACAAGCUGAUAUCUUAGUCCAUGCGUAGAGCUGAAUUACUGUUGAGAAUUACCGUGUGUAGGAAAUUUUGUGUAUCACGAUUUAUGAUUUUCUUAUUAAACAUCUCAAGGUUGGGAGGUUGGGCAGAGUUACGACAGUAGAUCAGCAUGGUUGGUAGGUUGGAAAGACAUUGAUUUCUGCAUUAAGGCUGGGAGGUUGGGCAGAAUUUAGACAGUCAUCAUGGUUGGGAGGUUGGGCAGAAUUUAGACAGUCAUUCAUCAUGGUUGGGAGGUUGGGAGAGAUAUUGAAUUAU